GAACGCUGGCGGCAUGCCUAACACAUGCAAGUCGAACGGUAACGCGGAGAGCUUGCUCUCUGGCGACGAGUGGCGGACGGGUGAGUAAUACUUAGGAAUCUACCCAGUAGUGGGGGACAACAUUCGGAAACGGAUGCUAAUACCGCAUACGCACUACGGUGGAAAGUGGGGGAUCUUCGGACCUCGCGCUAUUGGAUGAGCCCGCGUCGGAUUAGCUUGUUGGUGAGGUAAAAGCUCACCAAGGCGACGAUCCGUAGCUGGUCUGAGAGGACGAUCAGCCACACUGGGACUGAGACACGGCCCAGACUCCUACGGGAGGCAGCAGUGGGGAAUAUUGGACAAUGGGCGCAAGCCUGAUCCAGCAAUGCCGCGUGUGUGAAGAAGGCCCUAGGGUUGUAAAGCACUUUCAGUGGUGAGGAAAGCUCACGCGUUAAUAGCGCGGGAGGGUGACGUUAGCCACAGAAGCAGCACCGGCUAACUCCGUG
Molecule: ribosomal RNA, 485 nt
Filed under: uncultured bacterium
Lineage: Bacteria
Description: bacterial SSU rRNA
Rfam family: Bacterial small subunit ribosomal RNA
Source: RNAcentral